AAAUAGAUACCCAGGUAGUCCACGCCGUAAACGAUGAGUGCUAAGUGUUAGAGGGUUUCCGCCCUUUAGUGCUGCAGCUAACGCAUUAAGCACUCCGCCUGGGGAGUACGGCCGCAAGGCUGAAACUCAAAGGAAUUGACGGGGGCCCGCACAAACGGUGGAGCAUGUGGUUUAAUUCGAAGCAACGCGAAGAACCUUACCAGGUCUUGACAUCCUCUGACAACCCUAGAGAUAGGGCUUUCCCCUUCGGGGGACAGAGUGACAGGUGGUGCAUGGUUGUCGUCAGCUCGUGUCGUGAGAUGUUGGGUUAAGUCCCGCAACGAGCGCAACCCUUGAUCUUAGUUGCCAGCAUUCAGUUGGGCACUCUAAGGUGACUGCCGGUGACAAACCGGAGGAAGGUGGGGAUGACGUCAAAUCAUCAUGCCCUUAUGACCUGGGCUACACACGUGCUACAAUGGAUGGUACAAAGGGCUGCAAACCUGCGAGGGUAAGCGAAUCCCAUAAAGCCAUUCUCAGUUCGGAUUGCAGG
Molecule: ribosomal RNA, 529 nt
Filed under: uncultured bacterium
Lineage: Bacteria
Description: bacterial SSU rRNA
Rfam family: Bacterial small subunit ribosomal RNA
Source: RNAcentral